UUUGGUACAGAUUUUGAGAAGAGGUGGAAUACCUGGAUGGUAGAAGUAGAAGAUAAACUAGAGGCUGUAAAGACCGGAUUGGUUGGCAAAUAAUUUGGACGAAUGCACAUACAUCGCACAUUACAUCUUACUACAGAAGCACAAUUAUAUAAAGUGUUUAAGAAGCAUGGCUUAAUUUAAGUAAGUUCAAUAGAAGAAAAACUUGAUCCUAAUCAACAUGAAGCACUUUCAACAAGUAAGAUCUAUUUUGUAAGUAAAACAUGCUGUCAUUAAUUAUCAAUAUGCACAACAGUUAUCGAUAUAAAAUAAUUUCAGGAGGUUGGAGGUAAAAAAAAGCUGAAACAAUUGUAGUUGUAUAAAAAAUAGAAAAGUGAUUGCACGAAAGGAUAAUAAGACCUGCAUUAGUAGGUGUUGGUAAAAGAUAAUUUUUUCCUUUUCACGAAAUUUCCCUGAACUUUGCGUUACAUCCAACGCCCCAUACCAGCAUCCUUCUGUAUUACCACUACAUCUGCUUCUCUUUCCCCAUGAUUUAUUCUUCUCCCCAGUGCUCCAUCCUAUCAAAUCUGUUGUUUAAAGCCUUUUGUUUAUAGCCUUUUGUUUAUCUUUUACUUGUACCAUCCAGGUAUUCCACCUGUUCUCAAAAUACUUUCUUUAUGCUGCUAUUUCCUCUUGUAAUUUCUUUAUUUCCUUGUUUUAUUUGCUCACCUAUCUCCCUUCUAAUCAGUUCCCCUACCUCCUUUUUCCAUUUCUCCACUAUAUCUGCCCACUAAUCUCCAUUUUCCUCAUGUACCGAUCUUUGUCCUUUUUGCCUGUCAUUACUUCCAUCUCUUAAAACACCAUCCUUUUUCCAUUUCCUUUCUCCUCUGUCUCUAUUCUCCUUUGUCCUUCUAUCUUCCCCUUCCCCACUCAAAACAUAAAUUGUCUUUUACAUUUCUUUAAAGUAGACACACUUUCAUUUUAUGAAAUAUAUAAGGGUUAGCAAAUUACACUUGCGUGCACUUUCAUUUCUUGUGUUAUCAUAAUAAGGAAAUAUUUGUCACAAAGUUAAUGUUCCAAAUGUAUAAAUGAGUAUAAUUUUUUUAAUAAAUCAUGGCAUAAAAGAAACAAAUGUAAUAUAUCUAUAUAACGUAGUUAUUGAAGUCUUCAUGGAAUUGUAGAUGAAGCUUCUUCCUUAGAAUAUAUACCAGCACCUGGUUCUCCAUAUAUAAUUUUAUGAAGAAAACAACAACAAAAGAUGAAAGUGACAGUUAAAAAGAGCUUGUGGAUGCUGUUAUGGCAGGUAUCUAUGCUCAAGUGAAACAAAAUAAAUAUGACUGAAUGGGAUAAGGAAGACAAAUCUAAGGGAUUUCGGGCAGAUGUUGACGUACAACACGACGAAAAUUAUUACAAAUUUAUAUAUAGAGGGAAAUUGUACUGCUGCUUUGCAACAAGAGAAAUUCGAUUAAGAAAUCGAAUACGAUGAAGAUGGUCAUCCUAUUGCACCACCAGAGAAGACUAAAAUUGAUCCAUUAACUCCGAUUGAUAAUAACGAAAUGGGUUACGAGUAAUUUGCGAAGAAUUUUUGCAAUGUGCAUGAAGAAAUUGGAAGUUUAAACAAACAACAGAUUGAUGAUCUGAGGAAAACUCUCGUAAUAAAGGUUUCGAGAAACAUUACAUAUGUUGUAUUCAAGUUGGAAUACAACUUGAUAAAGUUAUAUAAUAUAUAACGUUAAGUUAUAUAAAAAUUAUAACAUAAGUGUUCGAGAGCGAGAUUAAUUAUCUAGCAUUAGGCGAUCGAACGUUCUAGAACGUUCGCUCGCCCGCCAGCCUCGCGACGGGCUCGCGCUAGCCGCAGCGCGAGUCCACCUUUUUUUCUGCACUGAUUUUGCUGGCUGUCCGCGGUUGCCAUGCCGACCAUACGCGCAAACAAACAAACAUUCGCGCUUCUCUACUCGCAUGCUAGAUCGCCGCUGUUACCAUGCAGGCUUUAUUUGGAAAUGAUCUCGAAGAUUCGGCAACCGCGACCAACCAGCGAGCGACUUGUCGCCAAGUGCUUUUUCUUUAAAAGCUGCCCUCGCCGACGAUGAGGGCAGUCCGUGCUUCGCAUCUAUCACAAGAGGAGCACGUCUCGGACAGCUGGGAAACAGCUAAUCUCAAGCGCCGGCAAUAUCGGAGAGCUCGUCGCGUGUUCAAUCGGUCCGCCGACUAUUGUAUCUUUAGCGGGACUGCAAGCUCCGUUGCACUCGCGCUACCUUCGACGCGGAGGAGCCUCGCCGCGACUCCUCUCGAGCGCCGAGAGUCGAUCUCGCUCUCUCGGGCCAGCUCCGAUCUCUGGAAAGCAAGUCGGCGAAAUUCGUUAGCCGCUUGCCGCUCGCGCCGUUCGCGCGCUAUCGUUACUCAAUUAACUUUGUUUGUGCUCUGUCUUCUUGUGUGUUCAUAUUGUGCAACGACGUUGUGACUUCUACCCUUUCGAGAAUCGGCUCGUUCGACGGCUCGCGGACGCGCGCCAGGGUCGCGGAA
Odontomachus brunneus is the source of this 2499-nucleotide long non-coding RNA. RefSeq lists it as uncharacterized. Lineage: Eukaryota; Metazoa; Arthropoda; Insecta; Hymenoptera; Formicidae. The transcript has 3 exons. The record is from RefSeq and is a predicted model, not a curated record.